CCUACGGGAGGCAGCAGUAGGGAAUCUUCCACAAUGGGCGAAAGCCUGAUGGAGCAACGCCGCGUGGGUGAAGAAGGUCUUCGGAUCGUAAAACCCUGUUGUUCGAGAAGAAAGUGCGUGAGAGUAACUGUUCACGUUUCGACCGUAUCUAACCAGAAAGCCACGGCUAACUACGUGCAAACAGCCGCGGUAAUACGGAGGUGGCAAGCGUUAUCCGGAUUGAUUGGGCGUAAAGGUAACGAAGGCGGCCUUUUAAGUCUGAUGUGAAAGCCGUCGGCUUAACCGGAGUAGUGCAUUGGAAACUGGGAGACGUGAGUGCAGAAGAGGAGAGGGGAACGCCAUGUGUAGCGGUGAAAUGCGUAGAUAUAUGGAAGAACACCAGUGGCGAAGGCGGCUCUCUGGGCCGUAACUGACGCUGAGGUUCGAAAGCGUGGGUAGCAAACAGGAUUAGAUACCCGAGUAGUC
Molecule: ribosomal RNA, 465 nt
Filed under: uncultured bacterium
Lineage: Bacteria
Description: partial 16S ribosomal RNA
Rfam family: Bacterial small subunit ribosomal RNA
Source: RNAcentral